Molecule: ribosomal RNA, 240 nt
Filed under: uncultured bacterium
Lineage: Bacteria
Description: partial 16S ribosomal RNA
Rfam family: Bacterial small subunit ribosomal RNA
Source: RNAcentral
AGCGUUGUUCGGAAUGACUGGGCGUAAAGGGCGCGUAGGCGGUUCGUUGCGUCAGAUGUGAAAGCCCCGGGCUCAACCUGGGAACUGCAUUUGAUACGGGCGAGCUUGAAUCCAAGAGAGGGUGGUGGAAUUCCCAGUGUAGAGGUGAAAUUCGUAGAUAUUGGGAAGAACACCAGUGGCGAAGGCGGCCACCUGGCUUGGUAUUGACGCUGAGGCGCGAAAGCGUGGGGAGCAAACAGG